UCUGGACUUUAUAAACUACAGUCAACAGGCAGCAGUGAAAAAAUCUUCAAUGUUACUGUCAAUGAUGUUCCUGCUGCUGAACUACAUGAAAUUAAGAGAAAGUCAGUGAAAGAGGGACAAUCUGUCACUUUAGAUCCUGAUAUAGUAAAAAAUCCAAAUUAUACAAUGAAAUGGUAUUUUAAUGACAUUCUCAUUGCUGAAAUCACUGGAGAUCAGAGUAAGAUCUGUACAGAUAUUCAGUGUAAACAGAGAUUCAGAGACAGACUGAAGCUGGAUCAUCAGACUGGAUCUCUGACCAUCACAAAAACCAGAACCACAGACUCUGGAGAUUAUAAACUACAGAUCAUCAGCAGCAGAUUCAGCAUUGUUAGGAAUUUCGGGAUCACUGCUACUAUCGAUGUGUCAGGGUUGUCUGGAGGUGCUAUAGCAGGAAUCAUUAUUGCUUGUGUUGUGCUGAAUGCUGUGUGUAGUGGUUUCAGUUCUCUGUUGUUCCAGCGAUAUUAAUGAUAAUGAUGUGCUAGCCACCUGAUCCAAAUAUUAUUGCUUUGAGGAGGAGGAACUGGCUGUUUAUCUUAGGUUAUUUUGAAAGUAAAUGCAUCCUAAUUUAAGAAUGUUUCUGGAUCAGCUGUGAAUAGCAUGGCUUUUGAUAUGUUGAGCUAAACCAGAACCAAUCAGAACCAUCAUUCUUUAAUGAGCUUGAAAAUACAUUGAUUUAUUUUGAAGUUGGUGAAACACUUUACUGACAGUAGUUAUCAUGUUCAGUGCCUUUAACUGGAUGUAUUAACAAUAAAUGCUAUGUUAAAUGUUGAUUGCUAUUGUUUGGUUCGCCAU
Cyprinus carpio (common carp) is the source of this 831-nucleotide long non-coding RNA. RefSeq lists it as uncharacterized. The record is from RefSeq and is a predicted model, not a curated record. NCBI's taxonomy places the organism in Eukaryota, Metazoa, Chordata, Actinopteri, Cypriniformes, Cyprinidae. The transcript has 4 exons.